ACCUGAAUCAAGGGCUCCUCUUCUAUGGUCCCCUGGUCCAAAGCAACAGCGUGGGCUUCCUGAUCGGGGGCGGAAGACGAGGGACCAGCAGAGGCCACCGGAGGCAUCUGAUCAGGCCUCAUAAGGCGGUCGACGUACAAGACGACGUGAUCACUCAUGUUGAAUAUAGAAAUGGGAAUCCUCCACAAAGAGAGAUUGAAAAAUGGAUGGGAGAAAGACGAGGGUUAUUAGAAACCUUAGAUCACGCUAUUGCAAACAGCGGAUCGCAGGUUUCCC
Molecule: unclassified non-coding RNA, 276 nt
Filed under: Hevea brasiliensis (rubber tree)
Lineage: Eukaryota; Viridiplantae; Streptophyta; Magnoliopsida; Malpighiales; Euphorbiaceae
Source: RNAcentral